ACUCCUACGGGAGGCAGCAGUGGGGAAUAUUGCACAAUGGGGAAACCCUGAUGCAGCCAUGCCGCGUGUGUGAAGAAGGCCUCGGUUGUAAGCACUUCAGUAGGGAGGAAGGUAGUGUAGUUAACACCUGCACUAUUUGACGUUACCUACAGAAGAAGCACCGGCUAACUCCGUGCCAGCAGCCGCGGUAAUACGGAGGGGUGCGAGCGUUAAUCGGAAUUACUGGGCGUAAAGCGCAUGCAGGCGGCCUGUUAAGUCAGAUGUGAAAGCCCGGGGGCUUAACCUCGGAAUUGCAUUUGAAACUGGCAGGCUAGAGUCUUGUAGAGGGGGUAGAAUUUCAGGUGUAGCGGUGAAAUGCGUAGAGAUCUGAAGGAAUACCGGUGGCGAAGGCGGCCCCCGUCGGACAGAUACUGACACUCAGAUGCGAAAGCUGGGGAGCAAACAGGAUUAGAUACCCUGGUAGG
This 464-nucleotide ribosomal RNA is filed under the name uncultured bacterium. RNAcentral describes it as "bacterial SSU rRNA". It matches the Rfam family "Bacterial small subunit ribosomal RNA", at positions 335 to 794 of the family's 1533-position model. The record is from RNAcentral.